Molecule: long non-coding RNA, 220 nt
Filed under: Hucho hucho (huchen)
Lineage: Eukaryota; Metazoa; Chordata; Actinopteri; Salmoniformes; Salmonidae
Description: RNase MRP (ENSHHUG00000021384.1)
Rfam family: RNase MRP
About the family: RNase MRP is an enzymatically active ribonucleoprotein with two distinct roles in eukaryotes. In mitochondria it plays a direct role in the initiation of mitochondrial DNA replication.
Source: Rfam by way of RNAcentral
GAAUAUUAGGAAGGCGUGAUUACUAGGCUUCUAAAUGAGAACUAAGUUUCUCCAGGAACGACAUAGGGGAGAGUUUCCGGGCACAUGGCAGAAAGUGCCCUGCCGACUUGUUGUCAUUCAGCUUGUGCUUUACCAUAUUUAUCUGUGACGUGCUCGCAGGUUGACUUUUGUCAUUGAGAUAGGCAUGCAUGAACAGAACGGGGCUCAUUCUCAGAAUGUA